ACACUGUCCUCCACAGUGGUUGAACCAUCUACAUUCUCACCAACAGUGCAAAAGCAUUCCUAUUUCUCCACAGCCUUGCCAGCAUCUAUUGUUUCUUGACUUUUUAAUAAUUGCCAUUCUGACUGGCGUGGGAUGGUAUCUCACAGUGGUUUUGAUUUGCAUUUCUCUAAUGAUCAGUGAUGAUGCCCUUUUUUUUUCUUCAUAUGCUUGUUGGUUGCAUAAAUGCCUUCUUUUGGCUGAGCACAGCGGCUCACACCUGUAAUCCCAACACUUUUUGGGACUGAGGCAGGCAGAUCACCUGAGGCCAGGAGUUCAAGACCAGCCUGGCCAACCCACCUCUACUAAAAAUACAAAAAUUAGCUGGGUGUCGUGGCGGGCACCUGUAAUCCCAGCUACUCAGGAGGCUUUUAUGCUUCAAAAUGUUUUUUGAUAAUUUCUUCCUCUGUUUUUGCUCAGAAAGACAUUUUCCUAAGUUUCUUCUAUUGGCUUUAUAGUUCCAUCUUUCGUGUUUAACUCUUAAUUCACUGGAGGCCACUUUUCUGUAAAAUGUUACACAGGAAUCUUGCCUCAGUUUUCCUAAUACCAUCUAUUGAGCAAUCUACUGUUUAUUGUGGUGCCAUCUUUAUUAUACUUUAAAUUUUCUUUUCUUUUCUUUUCUUUUUUUGAGACAGAUUUUCACUCUUGUUGCCCAGGCUGGAGUGCUGUGGUGCGAUCUUGGCUCACUGCAAACUCCACCUCCCGGGUUCAAGCGAUUCUCCUGCCUCAGCCUCCUGAGUAGCUGGGAUUACAGGCAUAUGCCACCAUGCCUGGCUAAUUUUGUAUUUUUAGUAGAGAUGGGGUUUCUCCAUGUUGGUCAGGCUGGUCUCGAAUGAUCUGCCUGUCUCAGCCUCCCAAAGUGCUGGGAUUACAGGUGUGAGCCACUGCGCCCGGCCUAUAUUUUUACACACACACACACACACACACACACACACACACACACACACACACACAGCCUGAGCUCUAUUUUAUUCCAUUACAACCUAUACUUUAUCGCUUUUCCAUGAAACAGUGUUCCUAUUUAAAAAGUAAUAUACUUUGGAGAAUAUGCAUUCCCUGG
This 1096-nucleotide long non-coding RNA is filed under the name Homo sapiens (human). Its description in RNAcentral is "non-protein coding lnc-SLC38A8-10:1". The record is from RNAcentral. Lineage: Eukaryota; Metazoa; Chordata; Mammalia; Primates; Hominidae.